Molecule: ribosomal RNA, 253 nt
Filed under: uncultured bacterium
Lineage: Bacteria
Description: partial 16S ribosomal RNA
Rfam family: Bacterial small subunit ribosomal RNA
Source: RNAcentral
UACGUAGGGACCGAGCGUUGUCCGGAAUCAUUGGGCGUAAAGAGCGUGUAGGCGGCUUGUUAAGUCUUGCGUGAAAUCUCGGGGCUCAACCCCGAGCGGUCGUGAGAAACUGGCAGGCUAGAGUGCGGGAGAGGAGAGUGGAAUUCCUGGUGUAGCGGUGAAAUGCGCAGAUAUCAGGAGGAACACCGGUGGCGAAGGCGGGUCUCUGGGCCGUAACUGACGCUGAGGAGCGAAAGCGUGGGGAGCGAACAGG